This 469-nucleotide ribosomal RNA is filed under the name uncultured bacterium. RNAcentral describes it as "partial 16S ribosomal RNA". It matches the Rfam family "Bacterial small subunit ribosomal RNA", at positions 28 to 507 of the family's 1533-position model. The record is from RNAcentral.
GACGAACGCUGGCGGCGUGCUUAACACAUGCAAGUCGAACGGAAAGGCCCUGCUUGCAGGGUGCUCGAGUGGCGAACGGGUGAGUAACACGUGGGUGAUCUGCCCCUUACUUUGGGAUAAGCCUGGGAAACUGGGUCUAAUACUGGAUAGGACCAUGCUGUAGCUGGUGUGGUGGUAAGAUUAGUUUCGGUAAGGGAUGGGCUCGCGGCGUAUCAGCUUGUUGUUGGGGUAAUGGCCUACCAAGGCCUCGACGGGUAGCCGGCCAGAGUGGGUGGGCGGCAACGUUGGGACUGCUAUGCGGCGCAGACGCCUGCGAUAGUCAGCAAUGGGCGAAAUUCUGCAAUAGGCGCAAGCCUGAUGCGGAGACGGCCUGUGGGUGAUGACGGCCUUCUGGUUGUAAACACCUUUCAGCCGUGACGAAGCCCUUGUUGUGACGGUAGUGGAAGAAGAAGCACCGGCUAACUACGUG